CCAAAUGAAACACCACAAAACCCAUAAACAAUUCCCCCCCCCACACUUUUCAAUGGCCUCUCCCGGAGACUAUAUAUGGUGUCUGGACCCCCGGGGCAGUAUUUGUCCAAACACCCUGGAGAGGACACAGAAAAGACAGGCAACCACCUCACUCGUCAAUGAGGAGCAGCUGUGCAGAGCCCAGAACAAAAGGCUACAUGCUAAUGUCUAAAAAUACUCAAUAAAUACAAUUAAAACUU
This is a long non-coding RNA of Xiphophorus couchianus (Monterrey platyfish), 239 nucleotides long. RefSeq lists it as uncharacterized. The transcript is spliced from 2 exons. The record is from RefSeq and is a predicted model, not a curated record. Lineage: Eukaryota; Metazoa; Chordata; Actinopteri; Cyprinodontiformes; Poeciliidae.